UAUGGUGCAAAGGGAGGGAAGGGAGAGUGUCAGAAUGUGGAAGGCUUGUCGUAGUUGGUUACAGACCUCUCUUCUGAGCACCUUGUUUGUGUCAACUUCUGGCUAACCUGAAUGAACACCCAUCAGCUGGGAGAAACAAGCACUAGGGGGCACCUUCAUGGUCACUGGUAAAGAAAGCCCUAAUUAUCUACAAAAUGGAAAUGGAAAACAAACAUUUAAAGUUUUAUGCAUUUUAGUUUUGAACUAGAAAUCUUCCAAGUUUAAUAUAUACCUUCCUAGUGAAUUCCCCUGCCAAAAACAAACAAAAAACCCCUCCCCUAAACCAAAUGGUAUUCCUGCAUCUUGGGCAACAGCUCCUUCACUGUCAAGUAGUUCCAAAGGAAAGCACGAGUAGGUAAGAGUCAAAAAUGCCACUGAGUUUUUGCUGUGAUCAAAUUGAUCAGGAGACAACAAUGUGGUUCUGUAAAAAUCAGCACAUCAACAAUGUGUCUUCCCACACUCCAUCUGGGGAAACCCGGCUAAGCAGCCUGGAAACAGAGUGCCAGGUCACUCUCUACAUGUAGGGCUGCUGGGCAGCCGCAGUAACGUGUGCCCGGAUGCAUCUGUGUACACAGCUCUCUGGUUUGCUUUCUGCAAAUUGGACGGAAAACAGAGCCUGGCUUCCCAUCCAGUAAAUGGUUUUCAAACUGCGAGUCAAGAAAACCGAAAACUUACUCCCCAUCUGCCUGCUAGGUGGCCUUCCUGCAUUUACUGCCACAUCCCUUCCUAGCCAACUGCUCCCUGUCUAGACGGAAGCCACCCAGUGUCAACGUCUGUGUCUCCUCACCUGAGUCAUCUCCAUCUGCUCAGUGCCUUGUGUACUGCAUUAAGUACUUGCUCAGAGGUCAAGAGGAGGAACUGACUCACGCAGCAUUAGUGGAUGUUCACUAAGCCUUCUGUUGAUUGUAACGUUAGUAUAGGGGAAGGGCAAAAGCAGAAUUCUGACCCUAAAGCUUGGCCAUCUGAAUGAACUCACUGCACCAUGCUCAGUGCUGUGGGAAGAUGGUUAGGCAACAGAAAUGUCCUUAGGAAGGAGCUCUAGGUAUCUACACCUGACCAGGUGUU
RNAcentral lists this long non-coding RNA (1104 nucleotides) under Homo sapiens (human). RNAcentral describes it as "HSALNT0217931". Lineage: Eukaryota; Metazoa; Chordata; Mammalia; Primates; Hominidae. The record is from RNAcentral.